CAGUUGGAAGAAAAAAAAAACAAAACAGCGAUCCGUCCUGCACAACUAUGCCGACUGACUCGAAUUGCCGGUGCCGGAGGCGAGAGCGUGAAACAGCAGCAGGGUCCACGUGGAAAUUUGCCUGAUAUUCGGCUCAACAUUCAAAGACCGAUUCUAGCAGACCAGACUAAUGUGCUGACAAGCGGUAGUUUUGUACCUAUCGAGGCCAAUGUCAUUCAGCGAACCCCCGGACCAAAUCGACUGUCCAAGAAGAAUUUGAAAAGAUCGGCGGGGGUAGUGGUGGCUAUACCCUGUUCACCACUGGCCAUAGAACAGCUACAAAUUCCUUAUAAAAAGGCUCGCAAGGAUGCCACACAUAAUGGUUUAACUCCGGAGAAUAUUACCCAGGUUAUACAGGCAGUCAUAAAUCCGCAAAUUGCGCCACAUGGAGCGGCAUGGACUGAUCCCAAACACCGGGUGAUCGGGGACGUGGAGGUGUAUGUGCAUGAGUCGCCUACAGAGACCGUCACUGUGCAACCGGAUGGGACUAUACAGCACGCCCAUGGAGAUCCCCAGUGUGCGCCACCACCAGAGCUGACCGCCGACGAUUGGGCUGGUCUUGACGACAUCUCGUCCUGGACUUCAUCGCUGUUGGAACAUAUCGACUUCACUCCUGCGCAGUGGAUCGACUCUCCAGCUACAUCCGUAGAGGCUACCACCAGUGCAGAGCCUGUACAACACCAUCAGCCUGCAGAUCCUGCAUCUGGACCCCUACAAGCCGUUCAAGACCCUAUGAGCGACCCCCCGUGCACCGUGAGUCCCAUCGCUCAUGAGGUAGCGGUGCCGAGGCUACCAGCCGGUCCCGCAAUUGCUGUUGAUGAACACCAUGCAGGGGUGCAAGGUGAUAAAUGGCGUAAACAAUUUGCUGAUAAACUAGCUGUGUUAACUGCGUCGGUAGAUGUAAACUCCUUAGGCAUUGCUCGUCAGCGUAAACUGGGGGUGGAGGCUGGUAAACGUGUUGACAGUAUAUAUCAGAAGCUCGAAGAACAGACGAAGAAGUCCUUCACGGCUCUCAGGGCCGAGAUUGCGCGUGAUCGUAUGACUGCUGAAUCCCCAAACACUGAGACCAGUAAUGGUCGUGCUAUCGUUGCCCUUCAGCGUAAGCAUUUGGAUGCCGUGGCAGCUGUGCGUGUCAACACGCAGGGCAUAGUGAGAAUUAACGCGCAAGAGGGGUUAAGAGCUGCUAAAACCGCUCGAAAAUUCUGGUUAAUGCAAUCUGCUAGCGAAGCCAACGUCAAUGCCUAUCGGGCAAUGAGUACCGAGAUGUCUGUGAUUAAUGAAACACUAGCAAAGCUUACGAUGAAUGCUAUUAUUUGAUUUGUGUUUUUGUUUUUAAUGUUUUUUUCUUUUAUUUCAUGGAGAGGGUAUCUUUUGUUUUAAACUGCAUGUAAUAAAACUUUUUUUCUUUUAAUACCUGACUACUUAACGUUUUUUUUUUUUUUUAAAUAUUAUUAUUUAUAUAUAUAUAUAUAUUUUUUUUUUCUAUCUAUUGGCAUAAAAAACUAUAGCUGUACACUAUGCAUAACGCCAUUAGCCCUAGAAAAAGGAAAUUCAAAUCUAUAGACGUAAUCCCAAGAGACGGCGUAGAU
Molecule: long non-coding RNA, 1628 nt
Organism: Gadus morhua (Atlantic cod)
Lineage: Eukaryota; Metazoa; Chordata; Actinopteri; Gadiformes; Gadidae
Source: Ensembl